This 497-nucleotide ribosomal RNA is filed under the name uncultured bacterium. RNAcentral describes it as "partial 16S ribosomal RNA". It matches the Rfam family "Bacterial small subunit ribosomal RNA", at positions 28 to 507 of the family's 1533-position model. The record is from RNAcentral.
GACGAACGCUGGCGGCGUGCCCAAUACAUGCAAGUAGAACGCUGAAGAGAGGAGCUUACUCUUCUUGGAUGAGUUGCGAACGGGUGAGUAACGCGUAGGUAACCUGCCUUGUAGCGGGGGAUAACUAUUGGAAACGAUAGCUAAUACCGCAUAACAAUGGAUGACACAUGUCAUUUAUUUGAAAGGGGCAAUUGCUCCACUACAAGAUGGACCUGCGUUGUAUUAGCUAGUAGGUGAGGUAAUGGCUCACCUAGGCGACGAUACAUAGCCGACCUGAGAGGGUGAUCGGCCACACUGGGACUGAGACACGGCCCAGACUCCUACGGAAGGCAGCAGUAGGGAAUCUUCGGCAAUGGGGGCAACCCUGACCGAGCAACGCCGCGUGAGUGAAGAAGGGUUUCGGAUCGUAAAGCUCUGUUGUAAGUCAAGAACGGGUGUGAGAGUGGAAAGUUCACACUGUGACGGUAGCUUACCAGAAAGGGACGGCUAACUACGUG